GACGAACGCUGGCGGCGUGCUUAACACAUGCAAGUCGAACGGAAAGGCCCUGCUUGCAGGGUACUCGAGUGGCGAACGGGUGAGUAACACGUGGGUUAUCUGCCCUGCACUUCGGGAUAAGCCUGGGAAACUGGGUCUAAUACCGGAUAGGAGCCAUUUUUAGUGUGAUGGUUGGAAAGUUUUUUCGGCGUAGGAUGAGCUCGCGGCCUAUCAGCUUGUUGGUGGGGUAAUGGCCUACCAAGGCGGCGACGGGUAGCCGGCCUGAGAGGGUGGACAGCCACAUUGGGACUGAGAUACGGCCCAGACUCCUACGGGAGGCAGCAGUGGGGAAUAUUGCACAAUGGGCGCAAGCCUGAUGCAGCGACGCCGCGUGGGGGAUGACGGCCUUCGGGUUGUAAACUCCUUUCGCUAGGGACGAAGCUUUUUGUGACGGUACCUAGAUAAGAAGCACCGGCUAACUACGUG
Molecule: ribosomal RNA, 465 nt
Filed under: uncultured bacterium
Lineage: Bacteria
Description: partial 16S ribosomal RNA
Rfam family: Bacterial small subunit ribosomal RNA
Source: RNAcentral